This is a long non-coding RNA of Gorilla gorilla gorilla (western lowland gorilla), 2480 nucleotides long. RefSeq lists it as uncharacterized. The transcript is spliced from 4 exons. The record is from RefSeq and is a predicted model, not a curated record. NCBI's taxonomy places the organism in Eukaryota, Metazoa, Chordata, Mammalia, Primates, Hominidae.
GGGGGGCGGGGCGGUAAGGCUCAGGCAUGGCGGGCUGCAGGUCCCGAGCCCUGUCCCGCGGGGAGGCAGCUAAGGCCUGGCGAGAAAUCGAGCACAGCAGCUGCUGGCCCAGGUGCUAAGCCCCUCACUGCCCGGGGUCGGCGGGGCUGGCCGGCAGCUCCCAGUGCGGGGCCCUCCGAGCCCACGCCCCACCGGGAACUCCCGCUGGCUCGCAAGCGCCGGACGCAGCCCCGGUUCCCGCCCGCGCUUCUCCCUCCUCACCUCCCAGCAAGCUGAGGGAGCCGGCUCCGGCCUCGGCCAGCCCAGAAAGGGACUCCCACAGUGCAGCGGCGGGCUGAAGGGCUCCUCAAGUGCCGCCAGAGUGGGCGUCCAGGCAGAGGAGGUGCCCAGAGCGAGCGAGGACUGCAAGGGCUUGCCAGCACGCUGUCACCUCUGACUUCCAGCCCCUGGCAACCACUUUUCUACUCUCUGUCUCCAGACGUUGGACUUUCAGAUCCCACAUACAAAGUCACAAAACCCAAACCGACACCCAGAACUAGCCACAUCUCUAAGGAGCUCUCAUUCCUGUUAAUGAAGAAUGAUAUUUACAAACCAAAAUCCAGGAACUAGGAUUUCAAAGAGAGGCUGUUUGCUUGACUGAAGGAAGCGCCUUUUGACAGAAGAUGCAAUUUAUGUUAUAUGAAUGAUAUUUUUGAUGGCCAAAAGGACCUGUGAUAGCCUGAGAGUCAAAGACAAGCAGGAACACAUCUGUAGUCAAACAAGGUCAGGUUUAUUUAGUGGACUGCAUCAAAUAAGAACACCCCCAAAUAGGAACUUGGGGCAUCUCAGUAAUGGAGAUUUCACAGGAGUUGUUUAUGUGUUUGUGCUUGUGCUUGAUAUUCCCAAGGCAGAUAUGGAAUGAAUCCUGGCUUGGACUGGUUCUUGUCAACAAGGAGGAGCAGGUUAGCAAUCAGAUUCUCGGUAUUCGUUGUUCAGGUGGUGCUAUAGUCUGUAUGUCCCCUCCAAAAGCAUGUUGAAAUUUAAUUGCCAAUAUAAUCGUAUUGUGAGGUAGGACCUUUAAGAGGGGUUUGGCUCAUUGAAGCUCCACCCUCAUGAAUAGAUUAAUGUCAUUAUCGUGGGAGUAGGAUAGUUAUCAUGGGAAUGGGCUCCUGAUAAAAGAGUGGUUUCUGCCUGAUCUCCUCUUUCUCUCUCUCGCAUGCUCACUUGCCCUUCCACCAUAUUAUGAUGCAGCAGGAGGGCCCUCACCAGAUGCUGAUAACAUUUUUUUAACUUCUCAGCCCUCAAAACUGUGAAGAAUAAUUUCUUUCUUUUAUACGUCACCUAGUCUGUGCUAUUCUGUUAUAGCAGAAGACAAUAAACUAAGACAGACAUCGGGAAAACAACACGGGCUUGGGGACAUCAUUUAUAAGAAAGUGAUAAUCACUCAGAGAAAAAAAUGAUUAGUCAUAUUUUCAGCUAUAGUGUGGCCUUUUGUAUAAGCACUGUAUACAAAAAUGCUAUAUCCCAUUGGAAACAUUUUUUUUUUUUUUUGAGAAGGAGUCUCACUCUGUAACUCAGGCUAGAGUGCAGUGGCACGAUCUUGGUUCACUACAACCUCCUCCUCCUGGGGUCAAGCGAUUCUCCUGCCUCAGCCUCCUGAGUAGCUGGGACUACAGAUGUGCACCACCGGGCCCAGGUAAUUUUUUUGUAUUUUUGGUAGAGACAGGAUUUUACCAUGUUGACCAGGCUGGUCUCGAACUCCUGACCUUUUCACUUUCUCAAAAAGAAUAUUGUGACACAACCAUGAAGUGAAGAGUUCUAAGAUCCAACAUAGCCUCACUGAGUUGAUGCAUGUUUUUACCUGACUUCUGAUCAUUUUAUAAACAAUUAAAAUAGUAAAGCGGGACAGGACCUUAGAAAUUGUCAUUAUACGUAUGGAGAGCCUGGAGCACAUUCCCAGGGUCUGCCAAGCAGUUUGUGCCAAAAGAAGGAUUAGAACCCAGAUCUCUGACAAUUAGACAAGGAUCCUUCACAGGACAUCUAUUUUCAUCCUGGUACACACACACACACCUGUACCAAUUUCAGGGGUAAAGUAUUUUGCAAGUGAUUUACUACUAAUAAGAGUGAAAAUACUGGAGUGAUUCUCUAUUACUGUUUUCUCACUGUAAAAAUUUCAAGCAUACAAUCAUAAUAAAGUUAUCUCUUUACUUCAAUCUCCUUUCUCAUCUCCAUAUGGAUAAAUAUGUGUAUCUGACUAUUAUAUAAAAGUAAUGAUAUAGUAGUACAUAUUGUUUUGCAGUUGGCUUUUCCCAAUUAAUAACACACUUUGGAUAUUGUUCUGUGUCAGUGUCAAUAAAAUCUGUAAACAUAGAUAACAUCAUUUUAUUAUUUUACAAGGUGAAGAUGUCCUUAAUGAUAUUCAAUAUACUUUUCUACAUUUACAGACUAUGUACAUUUUGUAGAUAGAACUUUUUUAUUAAAAAUAACGUUAUUAACCAUUU